RNAcentral lists this unclassified non-coding RNA (373 nucleotides) under Hevea brasiliensis (rubber tree). The record is from RNAcentral. Lineage: Eukaryota; Viridiplantae; Streptophyta; Magnoliopsida; Malpighiales; Euphorbiaceae.
UGGGAUAAAGGCUUAGUUGAGUUAAGUUGAGUUGAGUUGAGAAUUAAUUGUUUUCUAAUUAUAUUAGGCAUUAGGAUUAAUCUAUUUCAUGAUUUGUUUCCUUCUUUUUAUUGCUACAGUUUUUGGCGCUCCCCGAGUUGACUCUUGACAGUAGGUUGUGGUCAAAUGAUGAAGAAAAUGAUGCAUUUGCAAACUUAUCUUUAUCUUUCUUCAUUGCUGUUGUUGGGGGCUGCAAUGAAGAAAAGUACGGUGACACGAAUGUCAACAUUUGCAUAGUUCUCUUUCAAGUUGUGUGCCUUAGUACCACAAAAUUGCCAGAAAACAACCUAAAACUUCCCUUGCCCCAUGGGAAUACAACUCAACUCAACUCAAC